GUACUUGCACAUGCUUGGAGUUGUUUACCGUGAUUUAAAACCAGAAAAUAUCCUGGUGCGAGAAGAUGGGCACAUCAUGCUCUCAGAUUUUGACUUGUCACUAAGGUGUACCGUUAAUCCAAUUGUGGUUCAGUCAUCUUCACCAGUUGCAGAGCCCACAAAAAAGAUGUCAAGUCCUUGCUCUGAAGCUAGCUGUAUUGACCCUUUCUGUCUCCACCCAGCAUGGCAAGUUUCAUGUUUCACUCCUCGACUUCUAUCAGUAGCUGCAAAAUCUCGCAAGUUAAAAUCUGACCUGGCUGCUCAGGUCAACCCCCUGCCACAGCUGGUAGUGGAGCCAACUAAUGCCCGAUCUAAUUCCUUUGUCGGAACUCAUGAAUACCUUGCUCCAGAGAUCAUCAAAGGCGAGGGUCAUGGCAGCGCUGUUGAUUGGUGGACAUUUGGAAUCUUCCUGUUUGAGCUGUUGUAUGGCAGGACACCCUUCAAAGGUUCAGGAAAUGAGGAAACGUUGUCAAAUGUGGUGUCACGAACCCUCAAGUUUCCAAGUAGCCCUAUAGUCGGUUUUCAUGCGCGUGAUUUGAUUAGAGGUUUGUUGAUAAAGGAACCUGAAAAUCGAUUAGGAUCUGCAAAAGGAGCUGCAGAGAUCAAACAGCACCCCUUCUUCGAAGGCCUUAAUUGGGCGCUUAUACGAUGUGCAAUACCACCAGAGAUGCCGAAGUUUGGUGAUUCUGGAAUUGGCGCAUCUGCUACUUUUCCUCAGAACAAGGAGAGCACGAAAUGUAAGGAAUCAAAGGGUACAGAAGAAUAUACAGAGUUUGAGAUGUUUUAGAGUGGGAAAGGAAGAUGUUUGGUUUUCUUUUUCAGAAUUACAUUUACCCUUGUUGUAACUGAUAUGUAUCUAUAGCAUAUAGUGUAAAUGUAAUUCUGAAAAUUGGCGGCA
RNAcentral lists this unclassified non-coding RNA (937 nucleotides) under Hevea brasiliensis (rubber tree). Lineage: Eukaryota; Viridiplantae; Streptophyta; Magnoliopsida; Malpighiales; Euphorbiaceae. The record is from RNAcentral.